AUGGCUCUGAUGGACGCGCGCCCAGCUAAGGUCAAGCGACGCACACCCUCGUUGACACCGAUCAGUGACCUGCUCGACGAGUUCGCCGAUGUCUUUGCCGCGCCCAAGGGACUACCACCACACCGUCAAUACGACCAUGUCGUCACCCUGGUGGACGGCGUGCGCCCCGCAAACACGCGGCCGUACCGGUACUCGCCGGUGCAAAAGGAUGAGAUUGAGAAGCAGGUUCGUGAGAUGCUGGACUCGGGGGUGAUCACGCACAGUGUCAGCCCCUAUGCGGCACCGGUCCUCCUCGUCAAAAAGAAGGACGGUACGUGGUGCUUCUGUGUAGACUACCGGUGGCUCAACAACAGCACCAUCAAGAACAAAUUUUCGUUGCCGACCGUGGACGAGUUACUCGAUGAACUGGCAGGUGCCGCAUAUUUCUCCAAGCUGUAUCUCCGCUCUGGUUAUCAUCAAAUACAGAUGCUGGAGGCAAAUGAAGCCAAGACAACGUUCAAGACUCACCAUGGCCAUUUCCAAUUUCGUGUCAUGCCAUUUGGGCUGCCCAGCGCCCCGGCAACCUUCCAGUGCCUCAUGAAUGCGAUCUUCGAAGCACACAUACGCAAGUUUGUGAUCAUCUUCCUUGACGACAUCCUGGUUUUCAGUGAGACACUAGAGGAGCAUGUGCAACAUCUACGAAUAGUCCUGGAGAUUCUUCGGGAGCAUCAAUUAUAUGCCAAGCUUUCCAAAUGCUCGUUCGCUCAGGAUCACAUUGAUUACCUUGGGCAUGUCAUCUCCAAGGAUGGGGUGACAACGGACAGCGACAAGACAGAAGCCAUGAUGAACUGGCCCACACCAACAAACACUACUGAGCUCCAAGGAUUCUUGGGUCUCACGGGCUAUUAUCACAAAUUCGUCCCACACUAUGGGAUAAUUGCCAAGCCUCUGACCCAGCAACUCACUAAGAAGGGGUUUCAGUGGACAGAGCAGGCGCAACUCGCGUUUGACACCCUCAAGCAGGCCAUGGUGACCACACCCAUUCUUGCUCUGCCCAACUUCGACAAGCCGUUCUCGAUCGAGACUGACGCAUGCGACACGGGCAUCGAUGCCAUUCUUGUUCAAGAAGGCCAUCCAAUUGCCUACUAUAGCAAAGCUUUAGGCAUCAAGAACCAGAAAUUGUCGACAUAUGAAAAGGAGUUCCUCGCUGUCAUGAUGGCAGUGGACAAGUGGCGCUCGUACCUCCAACGGGGCCCCUUUACCAUUCUCACAUAUCACAAGAGUUUGUGCACAUUGGGAAAUCAACAACUAGAAACAGAUGUACAACGCCGGGCAAUGUCCAAAUUGGUUGGCUUGCAGUUCCACUUCCAAUACAAGCGCGGCGUUGACAACGGCGCGGCUGAUGCCUUGUCCCGCGUCGGCACACACUUUGAGGCGGCCGCUCUCUCUCUCGGUCAACCAGCCUGGGUAUAG
This 1452-nucleotide ribosomal RNA is filed under the name Triticum aestivum (bread wheat). RNAcentral's name for it is "partial small subunit ribosomal RNA". Lineage: Eukaryota; Viridiplantae; Streptophyta; Magnoliopsida; Poales; Poaceae. The record is from RNAcentral.